RNAcentral lists this long non-coding RNA (899 nucleotides) under Anas platyrhynchos (mallard). RNAcentral describes it as "lncRNA (ENSAPLG00020012408.1)". Lineage: Eukaryota; Metazoa; Chordata; Aves; Anseriformes; Anatidae. The record is from RNAcentral.
GUGCUGAUAAAAUAGAAAUUACUUUCUCUCUGAGGUCUAGCUGGAAUUUUAAUGUCUGUUUUGCAAUAAAGCAGCUCCUACACAAUUCGAUUUGAGGGAAAGAAAACAAACGGUCUAAUUUAGUUACAGUAAUGACUCCUCUUGUAUUGUUGGCCGUAGCCAAAUCUGUGGUUGCAGGGUUGUUAAAGUUUGUAGUGGCGAACGCAGUGAUGAUUUUUAUAGUAAUAUGAAUUUUUUGUCUUUAAAAUAUACAUCGUGCUGCUUAAUUACAGGUAUGGAACAACAAGGACCCAGAAAGAAAAAGGUCAUUAAAGUUUACAACCUCUAAUAACGUUUCUGUAAAAAUUACUUGUCACAGCUGUAAAGCUGGUGACCAACGAUGACACAGAUUAAAAAGGGUUCUUGAAUUGGGAAGAGAAAUUGCAACUACUGGACUCAUCAAUGUUGCCUUUAAUUAUUCCAUAAAUGUCACCCUCGCUCUGGUUAGCUCCUUCAAAGGGGAAGGAAAAAAAAAACAAAAGCUCAUUUCCUACGGUCACCGAGUUCUGCUUUCCAUUUCUAGGUUGGAAAUGGCAGGGUGGGGAGGAGCCCAAGAACAAUUAAGGAGGGGAGCAAAAAAUAAACUAUUCUUCAUUUGCAUUGUGGGCACGUGGCACAGGCAGACAGUCUCGGAGCGCGGGUGCUGGUCAGGAGGUUAAAAUCAUUGAUGAGGACUCUCCAGCGGGUGGCUUGGUGUUUCAUCUCCCCGCGUUGUCUGCUCGCAGCCCCGAGGAGGACGAUGCGCCCAUGGGCUGCAGUGAGGUGGCCGGAACGUGGCUGCUCAGAGCACCCAUCUGCUGCAGCAUGGUUUACAGACUGUCGGUCCGGAUGUAAAUCACACCAACGUGGUGAACUCCCAC